RNAcentral lists this ribosomal RNA (426 nucleotides) under uncultured prokaryote. RNAcentral describes it as "bacterial SSU rRNA". It matches the Rfam family "Bacterial small subunit ribosomal RNA", at positions 355 to 796 of the family's 1533-position model. The record is from RNAcentral.
UGGGGAAUUUUCCGCAAUGGGCGCAAGCCUGACGGAGCAACGCCGCGUGAGGGAGGAAUGUCUGUGGAUUGUAAACCUCUUUUCUCUGGGAAGAAGAUCUGACGGUACCAGAGGAAUCAGCAUCGGCUAACUUCGUGCCAGCAGCCGCGGUAAUACGAAGGGGGCUAGCGUUGUUCGGAAUUACUGGGCGUAAAGCGCGCGUAGGCGGGCUGUUAAGUUGGGGGUGAAAUCCCGGGGCUCAACCUCGGAAUUGCCUCCAAAACUGGCAGUCUAGAGUCCGAGAGAGGUGAGUGGAACUCCGAGUGUAGAGGUGAAAUUCGUAGAUAUUCGGAAGAACACCAGUGGCGAAGGCGGCUCACUGGCUCGGUACUGACGCUGAGGUGCGAAAGCGUGGGGAGCAAACAGGAUUAGAUACCCCUGUAGUCC